RNAcentral lists this ribosomal RNA (773 nucleotides) under uncultured bacterium. Its description in RNAcentral is "bacterial SSU rRNA". It matches the Rfam family "Bacterial small subunit ribosomal RNA", at positions 8 to 798 of the family's 1533-position model. The record is from RNAcentral.
AGAGUUUGAUCAUGGCUCAGGACGAACGCUGGCGGCGUGCUUAACACAUGCAAGUCGAACGGAAAGGCCCUUCGGGGUACUCGAGUGGCGAACGGGUGAGUAACACGUGGGUGAUCUGCCCUGCACUUUGGGAUAAGCCUGGGAAACUGGGUCUAAUACCGAAUAUGACCACGCUCUUCAUGGGGUGUGGUGGAAAGCUUUUGCGGUGUGGGAUGGGCCCGCGGCCUAUCAGCUUGUUGGUGGGGUAAUGGCCUACCAAGGCGACGACGGGUAGCCGGCCUGAGAGGGUGACCGGCCACACUGGGACUGAGAUACGGCCCAGACUCCUACGGGAGGCAGCAGUGGGGAAUAUUGCACAAUGGGCGCAAGCCUGAUGCAGCGACGCCGCGUGAGGGAUGACGGCCUUCGGGUUGUAAACCUCUUUCACCAGGGACGAAGCGCAAGUGACGGUACCUGGAGAAGAAGCACCGGCCAACUACGUGCCAGCAGCCGCGGUAAUACGUAGGGUGCGAGCGUUGUCCGGAAUUACUGGGCGUAAAGAGCUCGUAGGUGGUUUGUCGCGUUGUUCGUGAAAACUCACAGCUUAACUGUGGGCGUGCGGGCGAUACGGGCAGACUAGAGUACUGCAGGGGAGACUGGAAUUCCUGGUGUAGCGGUGGAAUGCGCAGAUAUCAGGAGGAACACCGGUGGCGAAGGCGGGUCUCUGGGCAGUAACUGACGCUGAGGAGCGAAAGCGUGGGGGGCGAACAGGAUUAGAUACCCCGGUAGUCCAA